RNAcentral lists this ribosomal RNA (205 nucleotides) under uncultured bacterium. RNAcentral's name for it is "partial 16S ribosomal RNA". It matches the Rfam family "Bacterial small subunit ribosomal RNA", at positions 568 to 774 of the family's 1533-position model. The record is from RNAcentral.
AGCGCAGGUGGUUUAUUAAGUCUGGUGUAAAAGGCAGUGGCUCAACCAUUGUAUGCAUUGGAAGCUGGUAGACUUGAGUGCAGGAGAGGAGAGUGGAUUCCAUGUGUAGCGGUGAAAUGCGUAGAUAUAUGGAGGAACACCGGUGGCGAAAGCGGCUCUCUGGCCUGUAACUGACACUGAGGCUCGAAAGCGUGGGGAGCAAACA